Cebus imitator (Panamanian white-faced capuchin) is the source of this 551-nucleotide RNA transcript. It is a transcript of the gene named 60S ribosomal protein L11-like, with no coding region annotated. NCBI's taxonomy places the organism in Eukaryota, Metazoa, Chordata, Mammalia, Primates, Cebidae. The transcript is spliced from 2 exons. The record is from RefSeq and is a predicted model, not a curated record.
AUGCUCUUCCCGUUCUCCAUCGUGGUGCAGGAUCAAGGUGAAAAGGAGAACCCUAUGUGGAACUUGGCAUCCACAAGCUCUGUCUCAACAUCUGUGUUGGGGAGAGUGGAGACAGACUGACCCGAGCAGCCAAGGUGUUGGUGCAGCUCACAAGGCAGGCUCCUGUGUUUUCCAAAGCUAGAUACACUGUCAGAUCCUCUGGCAUCCAGAAAAAUGAAAAGAUUGCUGUCCACUGCACAGUUCGAGGGACCAAGGCAGAAGAAAUCUUGGAGAAGGGUCUAAAGGUGCAGGAGUAUGAGUUAAGAAAAAAUAACUUCUCCAAUACUGGAAACUUUGGUUUUGGGAUCCAGGAAAAUGUCGAUCUGGCUAUCAAAUAUGACGCAAGCAUUGGUAUCUACGGCCUGGACUUCUAUGUAGUGCUGGGUAGGUUUCAGCAUCACAGACAAGAAGCGCAGGACAGUCUGCGUUAGGGCCAAACACAGAAUCUGCAAAGAGGAGGCCAUCUGUUGUUCCAGCAGAAGCGUGAUGGGAUCAUUCUUCCUGGGAAAUAA